Molecule: long non-coding RNA, 551 nt
Filed under: Strigops habroptila (Kakapo)
Lineage: Eukaryota; Metazoa; Chordata; Aves; Psittaciformes; Psittacidae
Description: lncRNA (ENSSHBG00005019487.1)
Source: RNAcentral
CCUUCUGGACGAGCCUUUGGCAUGAGCGGCGGAUCGCACUAAUGCUCCAUCCCGUUCUGCAGCGGAGCAGCGCUUGGCGCGAGGAGGCAGGAGACUCCCUCAGGAGAACUUUGUGAGAACAGAGCUGCACGGCUGAGCUAGGACAUUGGUGCUGCUGAUUAGGAAAUACACUGCUCCCAAACCAGUCCCCUGGAGCUGAGUGUACAAGCACAGCGUGGAGAAGGCAGGAAAAUGAACCCAUGUGGAACGCUGUGAACUCAGAGUUCCUCACACCACAGAAAUAAAUGUCCUCUUCUUAGACAUUCGUCUGAAUUGUGCAGGAAAAACGUACAAGAGUGAAAUCUGUACUACCCGUGUGCUGACUGCUGGGGGUUUCAGGCUGCCACAAACACACAAACAAAAAUGGUUCCUGGUUCCAAAUGACACCAAUCAUUUCUCCCUCAAAAGCUAUUACAUAUGGCACCUCAAAAGCUAUUGCAUGUGGCGCCGUGGAAGUUCUGAGAAGUGAAAACACAUGAUUUAUUUAAUAAAAAAUUAGUGGUGUCAGAAUA